GAUGAACGCUGGCGGCGUGCCUAAUACAUGCAAGUCGAGCGAACGGACGAGAAGCUUGCUUCUCUGAUGUUAGCGGCGGACGGGUGAGUAACACGUGGAUAACCUACCUAUAAGACUGGGAUAACUUCGGGAAACCGGAGCUAAUACCGGAUAAUAUUUUGAACCGCAUGGUUCAAAAGUGAAAGACGGUCUUGCUGUCACUUAUAGAUGGAUCCGCGCUGCAUUAGCUAGUUGGUAAGGUAACGGCUUACCAAGGCAACGAUGCAUAGCCGACCUGAGAGGGUGAUCGGCCACAAUGGAACUGAGACACGGUCCAGACUCCUACGGGAGGCAGCAGUAGGGAAUCUUCCGCAAUGGGCGAAAGCCUGACGGAGCAACGCCGCGGGAGUGAUGAAGGUCUUCGGAUCUUAAAACUCUGUUAUUAGGGAAGAAAAUCUGUGUAAGUAACUGUGCACGUCUUGACGGUACCUAAUCAGAAAGCCACGGCUAAAUACGUG
This 497-nucleotide ribosomal RNA is filed under the name uncultured bacterium. RNAcentral describes it as "partial 16S ribosomal RNA". It matches the Rfam family "Bacterial small subunit ribosomal RNA", at positions 28 to 507 of the family's 1533-position model. The record is from RNAcentral.